GAUACAACAAUGUUUGGAACAUAUACAGUCGUAUGUUCAGCGAAUGGCGUUAAUAUGUAAGAUGGAAUACUGUUUUGCACACACGAGACUGAAAAAACUUUGCGUUGUGGUUUAUUUAAGUUCCUAGUCGAUGCUAAGGUAAAGAAGCUGCUGUAGGUACGACACAAAGGUAUGAAACCUGCUGAAGCAGAAGCGUCCGCUUCAUACGUAUAUAUGGGAACUGAAGUUGAUGUUGAGACUGCAAUCAAUACAUGUGUACAGUUCCUGUACCAGACAACAAUGAAGUGCAUCUAUAUGAUCACGAGUAUACAACAUCAAACUCUCAACAUUGUAAAGGUACAGUGUGUGAUACAAGUAUUAUCAAUACCAGAUACUAGUACACCAGACCAGGAAGUUACAACUAUUGUUAAGUAAGUAAGUAAGUAAUUUUUAUUUAAAGUCGAAAGUAUAUACAUGUAAACAAUAAACAUGAGCUAAGAGCUCUUUAACCGACUAUAUAGUAUUAAAAAAACACAAAGCACUAAUGAUUUAUAAUUGCAUGCAUAGACAUAAAAACAGAAAUUUGAAAUAAAACAGGACGCAUACAUGUAUACAGACAUCACAAGUCAUGCAUAUAUAUACACAGGGACUAGCUAUAUUAAGAUGCGCAUGCAGCACUGAAAACAGUUUGCAACACAAACAUAAAAAUAUGGAUAUAUACAUAGACUAAAUAAAUAUGCAUAGCUAAGAGAUUGUUGUUAAGUUUAGUGUCUGGUGGUUUUAUUUAAUUCACUCUCACUUCAGUGUUAUAUAAACGAUACAUACCAAAGACUAUAAUCUUAUUGUUUUUGUUCUCACAGCUUUCUUUGAAGAUUUGGAUGUUGUAAACUUGCCGUGAGAAAAACAAAACCUGCUUAAGCUAAGGCAACUGUCCAUGACAAUUGGGAACAUCAUAAAAAGAUCCUGAAAAGGGAUCAUGAAAGCUGUUGAAGUGUCGUGUCAACUGAAAAUGCCACUAAUCCAUGCCAAAGUCAUUUGAAGAAUUUUUAUAUGCGAGAAUUACAAUAGACCCAACAGAUUUGACCCAAUAUGUCCCAAUAGAUAUGAAGCUUACAGUAAUUACAUGAGUCGCCAAACAGAAAAAAGGCUUUAAUGUGUGAGGCACCUAAUACAACUCUUGUGCUUUGUUCCAAUCUGUAUGUUGGAUACAAAUCUCAAUUGGCAAUUAUGGACCAUUGUGGUAUUUAAAUAAGUUGCAAAUUGGUGUUAUGAUCCUGGAGGACAAAGGAAUUUAGUAUAUUUGACAAAUUUCCAAAUGGCAUAACAUUUAAUAUUGCACUCUUCCUUACAAAUAAAUCCCACUUCCCAGAAGAGGAUGCACAGCUUUGAAAGUUGUAGAAGCAGAAUCCACGUAAGAUGGGCAAAUUAUAGAAUACGAGAAUAUUUAAAAGGUCUUUGAACUUCUUAGCCAUAUUUCAUCGCAGAAUAGAUAUCGAUCUAACAAAACAGAUUAGCUUUGUGUGGCCCAUGUGAAUUAGCAGGCUCAUCUUUUGAAUGAGAUUGCAGAUAAAUAUAAUAUUGAACUUGUCGGAAGAUCUUAAAAUCUCAGUAGAUUAAUCGCACGUACAUCUUGAAUCUACAUAAAUCUGCCACAUCGAAACUAUAUUAUGUAUAUGAUAUUUUCAAAGUCAAAAGUAAUGAACAUUUCUCAUAUCAAAUACAUCCUAAAUCAAAGACAAGACUUUCUGAGAUCAAAAAUGGAAAUAUCCAUGUUCAGUGAUCAGUCCUCCAAAACAUUAUUUUGUUAAACACCACUCUCAUUCCACGCACAAGUACUCUGAAAUUGAAAUAAAAAUAUGCUAGAGCUCUUCGUGGUCUUUGGUGAUAAGGUCUUCUAACAGUCUGUUGGAAUUCCCAUGGGCACGAAGUGUGUUCCUUUGUUAGCUGACCUUUUUAUAUAUUUUUAUGAAGCGGAAUUUAUUCGAAAAGUUAUACGUCAGAAGAAAAAAUAUCUUGCUGUGGCCUUCAAUUCUACAUCUAGAUAUAUCGACGACGUAUUAUCUACUAACAUUAAUAAUUUUCAUUCAUAUGUCGAUUCGAUAUAUCCCAGUGAACUCGAAAGAAAAGACACCACAGAGUAGUCUACGUAUGUUUCAUACUUACAUAUUUUAAUGGAAAUAGAUAUUGACGGCAAACUAACAACUCAACUUUAUGACAAACGGGAGAUGAAAGGUGAAGAUAAUGAACAGUGAUUAAUCUCAGAAACCCCAUAAGCAAAACAAAAUAGAUAGUUGGGCAAACACGGACCCCUGGACACACCACAGAUGGGAUCAUGUGUCUAUGAGGAGUAAGUAUCCCCUAUCAACCGGUCACAUCCGCUGUAAGCCCUGUGUCUUGAUCAGGUAAAACUGAUCAUACGCAGAACAAGCUCUUCGAUACUCAAGAGCUUGUUCUCCGUAUGGUCAAUUUUAAAACACGUUGAUGGUAAUGGGGAUUCAAUAGUCUGGUUUAAAGUCAGCAUUUUGCAAAAUCUAUAGUCGUUAUAACAAUCUAGUUUGUCAAUACAUCCUGCCAUGGGGUCAAAUGCUGUCUGCCGUGUUUCAUACCGAUUGUCAGACCGUUCUUGGCACACUGAUUUUGACUACCGAUAACUCAGUUUUCCUGAUCAAGACAUAGGGCUCACACUGGGUGUGACCGUCGACAGGGGAUGUUUACUCCACCUCUGGUGUGUCCAGCGGUCCGUGUGUGCCAAGAGCUACCACUACAGUCCUAAACUAAAAGCGGUAAAUGAUAGCCCUAGGGGUACUCUACCUCUGGUGUUUCGUGUGCCUUGUAGGCAAAGAUUACAGAUCUAAAAGCAGUCAUCAAACCCUUUUAUUCUCUAUGAGAUACGAAAAAGUCAAAUUUCAGGCGAACUAAACAAUACUUCCGGAUGUCAUAGAGCUCUUGUGUGCACGACAUGGAGUACUCAUUAGGAUCCCCAACUCCAAGCAAUGUACAAUCUGCCCCUUCCUCCCUACCCUUCAAAGAGUAGAAAUAAGGACCCUAAUUCUGUCCCGACUCCCAGGAGCCACCGGGUGGUACCACUGCAGCCUCAAACUGAAAGCGACAAAUGAUAGCCCUGGGGUUCUCUGCCUUGCUCUGAUGUCUCAAAAGUUUACAGCUUUAAACCAGUCAUCAAACCCAUUUAUUCUCUAUGAGAUACGAAAAAUAUCAAAGUUCAGACGAGCUAAACAAUAUUUUCAGGUAUGGCAGACCUCUUGUCUGCAUGGCCCGUAGUAUUCUUUAGGAUCCCCACUCCAACCAGUGAACAUUUUGUCUCUUCCUUACACCACAGAAUAGAAAUAGUUCCGACCCCCAGAAGCCACCGAGUGGUCCCAUAUAUUGUUCCGUUGUUCGGCCUGCCUUGUCAUCAAAGAUUAGCGGCAUGAGAGGCCGUCAUGAAACCCUGUAUUCAGUAGGUCAGGCGGAAUGUCAAAGUGCAGGUGAGCUAAUCCGCAGUUUUUGAUAGCACUGGCCGGAUGGAGGUAUUAUUCCCCAAAUAUUACAGAGGAAGUGUUUGUUUCAUUAUUUAAUACUGCUUCCUUAUAACACUUUCUCAAAAUAUUUCUUUUGUUAGAAGGCAAUGCUUAUCACUCUUCAGGUGACCUAAUUCACAGAAAAGGUUUUUGAAUGCAAUUGGAUUUAAAAUGGAUUGGCACAUGAAAAUAGGACCAGUCUUGAGAUGAUAAAGCACUCCACUUCAUAUAGUUUUCCCUAUCAUAUAAAUCUAUUCAUUGGUACUUAAUGACUAAGAUCGUAAUAGUCUGGUGAGUUAAAUCAUCAAUUUACUUUCAUACAUGUAAGGUUGUAAAAUUAGUUGUUCAAAAAAGAUCAGAAUCUGAAAAGUGUGGCUAAUUUUAUUUGCUUCCAUCCUUUCAUUACAAAUUACUGACUUAAAUUCAAUUCACCAUUAACGUCAAAUGUGCAACCUGUCAUGUGAUCUAAGCCGCUCAAAACAUGAAUUUAAUUCAAAUUUCCAUUUAAUAUAGGUUUCAAAUUAAAUAUUUUUCUAUUAAUACUCUCAGUCCUUUGAUGAUUUUCCUAAGUGGCUGCUAGCUUCUAUAGGCUUAUUGGCUGCUGGUGAGUGACUGAUAGCUUCAGCCUGGUGAAAAUUUAAAACGCAACGAAGAAUUGCAUCACACACAACUCCCUAGUAUUUAUCAUAUAUAGCACAUUUUCGAGUUAGUGCCGGAGCGCGUGUUUAUUCUAGAUUUUAUAUAACGUGAUCACGUGAUUUCAAGAUUUGGUUAGCCUUCGAUACUUCCGGUAAAAUAGCAUCUGUUGGGAAGAAACGAAGGGAUCAAAAGCAAGAUACUACUGCUCAAGGUGAGGACUCGUGGAAGAUGGGAAAGUAUGGUUAUACAAAAAACAUUAUAUUCUAUCCCUUUCUGGCACAGACAAAAGAUCCGAAAAGCGUGAUUAAAGUUGAUGAAACAAAUAGAUUACGAACCUUCGAAACAUCAUGGACUUGUACUAGUUAUAGACUGUACUCCAAACACUUCGUAGAUUGAACGCCUACAAAGGAAAACCCCUACCUGACUGUUUGCCAACAACAACUAUAAACAGCCUUUGAAGUUGAAAAGUACGAGUUAUUUCGACAAGCGGGACGUCGAGCCAUCCAUCUCACAGUAGCAUGAACUGGUUUGUAAUUUAUAUUUUACAAAUUAAUUCAAUGACUGUUCACUAUUAAUUCCCAUACAUGUAUAUAUAUAUACAUUCUGAAUAUGUUUAUAAAGUUUGUUCAACAAAUUAUAAAAAAUUGCAUUCGACAUAGUGGAACACUGCGAAAAACAGUGUUGGUGGUGCUAGGAGGGGGGGGGUCUCAAUUUUAUAUGCGAGGAAAUAGACUCAUUAGAUACUAUAUUUGGGUAGCAACCUAAUGGAGUGUAAUAUAACUGCUUUCAUUUAAAGCUUUAUUUAACCUAUAUGCUUCAGUAAUGUUUCGUUUGGUAUAAAAACGUUUUUGAAAUCAGACCCCCCCCCCCAUUUUUUCAAGUGAAGUAGAGACAAAUGCGGUGUCGAAGUGCCGCCCCCUUGGUUGCACAUUAAAACACUGGUAUUAUGUUUAAAAUAUUCAGUACAGCCACAAAAUUUAUUUUCAUUAUUCUUUUUCCAGAUAUUGAAACUUUGUUUUAGUGAUGAUAAUUAUUCCACUAAUCGCAAUUAUAUUGGUUUCUCGUCACCUCGAAACAUCAAGAAAACAGCUGAAAUGGAAGUACAGACCGAUAUAAGAAUGGAAGAAAUGACAGAGCUCCUGGAUUUGAAGUCGAAAUCCUAGAACCCUGAUGUUGUUUGUCCAGAGAGUCGCGUGUACACCCAGUGACGGGAGCGUGAAACAGCAUACUGGAGUGUCAUUGAAUAUUUGCACUUUCCAUUAUCGCAACAAUAGAUUCUAGAUCGAUUAGAGAAUAUUCAUGAAAAUGUGGGAGCAUUUUUUAUAAAGUGUAUUAUAAUUUAAUGAUAGAAUGUUGUCAUUUAUGUUCUAAUGAACCGUUAUGCGCUGGAAAAUUGAACGUGUUUUAAGUUUCAAAUGCAAACUAGUGCUACUGUAAUUUCAAAUAAAGUUUAUUAUCUAUCUUCUAA
Long non-coding RNA from Ostrea edulis (European flat oyster), 5604 nucleotides. RefSeq lists it as uncharacterized. The record is from RefSeq and is a predicted model, not a curated record. The transcript is spliced from 3 exons. NCBI's taxonomy places the organism in Eukaryota, Metazoa, Mollusca, Bivalvia, Ostreida, Ostreidae.